AGAAGAUGCUUGAAUGGACACCUUCCUGCAUAUCUCACUACGUCUACGGUCCUUUGGAUUUUGCAAGUUGGAGAUUUGAUGUAUGGCAGCAAUAGCAACUACACUGUGAAGCUGGGAGUGUGAUUCUCAAAAAAGGAAAAUUGAAGGAAGACAUUCAAGUAUUAGAUUUAGAAGCAUGUAAGUAGUAGGCCAGUGUGCCUGUCAGAAUCUGAAUGAUAGAAUUGUGCAUUCUGAUGAAUUUGUGUUUCAAAUUUGGUCUCCCACCGAUACUGCUCUGUAGCCCAUGAAGUUUCUGUAGAGAGGGAGAGCUCAGCCAUGUGCAGCUCUUGCUUAACUGGAGGCUGGGGUCUGGCCUGGAUUUUGAUGGCAUAAGAUAUGGUGAGGCUGGGGGCUGAGAACCUCUUCUUUUUCAGCAGUUCAAAACUGCCAUCUACCUGUUCUACCUGCCAGUCAAGUUAAUCACUUUCCAUUUCACGAGCAUGGAAGUAGAUGAGAAAUUGGACUGUGAAGACGACUAGUACCUGCAACUGCACAGCACCAAGAUGUCAUUACAGGCUUGAAGACUCAAGCUGCAUGAGGGCAGGCAGGAGCAGCUCUCUUCUCACUAGCCAUUUGUCACGACCUGAGAGAGCAGUGGCAAUGGCAGAGCAAAGCUGGGCAAACCAAGAGGAAAAGAGACCAGCUGCAGGGAGAUGCAGCGAGGCAGCACGACAGUUCACCCACCUUCAGCUUUCAUCCUGUUGCCAGAGCUGGCAGAUGUUAUCCUGGUUGCCAAUCUUCCUGUCCAGUUGUACAUCCUCCAUCCUAAAAAAAUAUUUUUUAGCCUCUCAAGUACCACUGGCACGUGGUCCUCAUUAGCCUAGCAGUAUUUUGGAUAAGUUAAGAUAAAGGAUCAGAAGACAAACAAAACCUGACCAUUUACGACAGCUUUAAUGAUACAGCCCAAAAUUUACUUCUACUUGUUUAAGACACAGGUGAGUGAAUGUAGGAUUUCUGAGUAUAUCAAGUAUAUCAUACAUACCUUCAUGGACUACACAGAGGAGUCCCACACAUAUGCAAUAAGGACAGAUUAAAGAUCAGUACUCUAAGUGUAAUUUAAUGACUUAACAAAUAAUGAUAAAAAACACACUAAGCAAAGUUGUUUCUGGUAAUAUAAAGUAAGCAUGAUACGUAGGGGCGGCAAGGAUAAUUUCACCUACCAGUGAUUAAAUAUGGGAAAACUUGCAUUGCCACAGCUCACGGCUUGCACCGGCUAGCGUGUAUGGGUGGAUGGGAGAUUGGGCUGUCAGGCUGUCAGCUUCCAUGAGCCCUAGCUCCUCAGUGAAAGGGAGAUGGCCAUUUUCCCAACAAUGUCUCCAGCUUCUUUCUUUACAGCCAGUCAAGUCCAAUGACAUCAAAUAUUAAUCUGGCACACAACUUGGGCUGUCCAAAUGCAUUUUAUAACCAACAGCAUAUCAAAUCCUUGGGACCUGAUGACAAUCACUCCUUUGUUGUCACACCCUUCAGUCACUUUAACCCAAAUUCUCAAAGGAAAGAUUGGUGCUUCAGAGGACUGAUUACAGCAAAAGUGCUUCAAAACAUGAAAGGAGGGAAGGCAGAGCUUUUGUGAUGAGAGCAACUCAUCACAAAAGAUCCUACCAUGAAAUCUAGAGAAUGAACAAGAAGCCUUAGAUGAUCUCACAGCAAGAGGCUCUGUUGUUACUUUGUGCAGAGGCAGAAUUUCUCUGCAGGGUCAGAAUUCGGAGCAUCUUGGCUCUGGUAUUUGGGCUUGCGGCUCAGAGUUCUCUGUACAAGACUGCAGCCAGUGAGAGAAAAUUAAAAAUUGACCCUAAAUUAUUCAAAGGAACCCAAGAAAUAAAAUAUAGGCUAAAGAAGAAUUCUUCUGAAUA
Chrysolophus pictus (golden pheasant) is the source of this 1889-nucleotide long non-coding RNA. Lineage: Eukaryota; Metazoa; Chordata; Aves; Galliformes; Phasianidae. The record is from Ensembl.